GUUAAUUGACCGUGCAGGAAUUGUUCCUAUUAAAUUAGGACCUAAGCCACGAAAUAGUGCUCUUGUUCCUUCAUGAACUUUUACAUUUUUUAAUAUUAUACAUGUAUCCAUAAAAUGCCUAUAUGCAGCCGUCAAUGGACUUUUCGAUUUCGCCGUUUGCUUCAAAAAUCUGUCUUUGUAAAAGUCAGACUGCAACCUCGUCUUCACUACGUCCAAAGGUGCUGUUGCAAUCGCUCCUAACAUUCCUGCAACUCUAAAGAAUAUUAGAAAGACAUUUCCCGUAAAUUUACAAAUCACUUACCCACCCGCUAUAAAAUGCGACAAAGGCGGUGGAGCACGUUCGUUACUGGCAUUAUUUGCUUUUGUUAAUAAAACUUUUGUUUUUUGUGAGUUUUCAGAGGGUUUAAUCUCUGAAUUUGACAGCAUGUCCAAACUCCUAAUUUUUGGCUCUUGGCAAUGUAAUGUCAUUCAAACAUUAAACAAAUUGCUACUCUUAUGAACUUGAAUGUCUAGUACUUUACUAGAAUCUACUUAGUACAUUCUUAAUAGUAACUAGUAGUAUUUUAACUACUCAAAUUUAAGAGGCUUAUUUACUAAUGUCAAGGGACCUUCACAUAAACUUCCCGAACGCUAUUUGAAAACUCGAGUUAAACACGGAGCAAAAAUAUAACUAAAUCUACAAUAUUAAAUAAUGUAUCUGAUCUUAAAUAAGAGGGUUUUAAACUUCGGUUCCGUUAGAGAAUUUUAACAUAAUCCGAUUGUGCAUAUCUAAAUGAAAACUGAUAACUAUUAGCU
Molecule: non-coding RNA, 795 nt
Organism: Schizosaccharomyces pombe (fission yeast)
Lineage: Eukaryota; Fungi; Ascomycota; Schizosaccharomycetes; Schizosaccharomycetales; Schizosaccharomycetaceae
Source: the annotation of a GenBank genome assembly